Molecule: non-coding RNA, 30 nt
Filed under: Homo sapiens (human)
Lineage: Eukaryota; Metazoa; Chordata; Mammalia; Primates; Hominidae
Source: RNAcentral
UGAGGCAGAAGAGAUGGGUGUGUCUUAUCC